This 154-nucleotide unclassified non-coding RNA is filed under the name soil metagenome. RNAcentral's name for it is "partial internal transcribed spacer 1". The record is from RNAcentral.
CAGAGUUAUCCAACUCCCAAACCCAUGUGAACUUAUCUCUCUGUUGCCUCGGCGCAAGCUACCCGGGACCUCGCGCCCCGGGCGGCCCGCCGGCGGACAAACCAAAACUCUUGUUAUCUUAGUUGAUUAUCUGAGUGUCUUAUUUAAUAAGUCA